UGCUUAAUACAUGCAAGUCAAGGAGAAAGGGUUUCUUCGGAUGCCCGAGUAAACUGGCGAACGGGUGAGUAACACGUAGGUAAUCUGCCCUCAGGACGGGGAUAACAUCGCCAACGCGGUGCUAAUACCGGAUGAUGCAGUUGAUCCGCAUGGAUUUAUUGUUAAAGUGGGCUUCGGCUCAUGUCUGAGGAUGAACCUGCGCCCCAUUAGUUUGUUGGUGAGGUAACGGCUCACCAGGACUACGAUGGGUAGCCGACCUGAGAGGGUGACCGGCCACACUGGGACUAGAGAUACGGCCCAGACUUCUACGGAAGGCAGCAGUAAGGAAUAUUGCGCAAUGGCCGAAAGGCUGACGCAGCAACGCCGCGUGAGGGAUGAAGCUUCUAGGAGUGUAAAC
This 397-nucleotide ribosomal RNA is filed under the name uncultured bacterium. RNAcentral's name for it is "bacterial SSU rRNA". It matches the Rfam family "Bacterial small subunit ribosomal RNA", at positions 45 to 430 of the family's 1533-position model. The record is from RNAcentral.